UCAAGAUCUUACGUAAAAGUGGAAUCCACGACACCAUCCUUUUUAUCUUUCUCCAUUUUCACCAAAAAUGCGUCUACGAAAUCGUCACCUUCCUCGCUCAUUACA
RNAcentral lists this small nucleolar RNA (105 nucleotides) under Caenorhabditis brenneri. RNAcentral describes it as "sRNA CBN33939". It matches the Rfam family "Small nucleolar RNA sn2524". Lineage: Eukaryota; Metazoa; Nematoda; Chromadorea; Rhabditida; Rhabditidae. The record is from Rfam by way of RNAcentral.